RNAcentral lists this ribosomal RNA (492 nucleotides) under uncultured bacterium. Its description in RNAcentral is "partial 16S ribosomal RNA". It matches the Rfam family "Bacterial small subunit ribosomal RNA", at positions 29 to 507 of the family's 1533-position model. The record is from RNAcentral.
AUUGAACGCUGGCGGCAUGCUUUACACAUGCAAGUCGAACGGUAACAGGCCUUCGGGUGCUGACGAGUGGCGAACGGGUGAGUAAUACAUCGGAACGUACCCCGCGGUGGGGGAUAACGCAGCGAAAGCUGUGCUAAUACCGCAUGUGAUCUGAGGAUGACAGCGGGGGACCGGGCAGCAAUGUUUGGCCUCGCGCCUUUGGAGCGGCCGAUGUCGGAUUAGCUAGUUGGUGGGGUAAAGGCCUACCAAGGCGACGAUCCGUAGCUGGUCUGAGAGGACGACCAGCCACACUGGGACUGAGACACGGCCCAGACUCCUACGGGAGGCAGCAGUGGGGAAUUUUGGACAAUGGGCGCAAACCUGAUCCAGCAAUGCCGCGGGCGGGAAGAAGGCCUUCGGGGUGUAAACCGCGUUUGGCAGGAACGAAACGGUGUCCGCUAAUACCGGGCGCUAAUGACGGUACCUGCAGAAUAAGCACCGGCUAACUACGUG